This is a non-coding RNA of Paralichthys olivaceus (Japanese flounder), 1164 nucleotides long. The record is from RefSeq and is a predicted model, not a curated record. Lineage: Eukaryota; Metazoa; Chordata; Actinopteri; Pleuronectiformes; Paralichthyidae.
UCAAUCAUUGAUAUACCCUCAAAAUAUUCCACUCUAUAAUUGAACCUAUUUCACUGUGUGGUAGUGAAGUAUGGGGCCCUCUUAUAAAUCAAGACUUUGAAAAAUGGGACAAACACCCAAUUGAAAGCCUGCAUACUGAGAUUUGUAAGAGCAUUCUCAGAGUCCAGAGGAACACCCCCAACAAUGGAUGUCGAGCUGAAUUAGAUUCAGAUCCAAAAAAGAGCCAUCAAAUUGUACCAACACCUCAGAGCCAGCGAGCCCAGCUCCUACCACUACAAAGCCCUGCAAUGCCAAGAGGAGAGCAAAGACAGGAGUCCCCUCAGCCAGCUGGUCCACYGGCUCAGCUCCAACAGCACAGGGCACCAAGACCGUCCUCACACAUCGGGCCCCACCAAAUUAUAACUAAAGAAAAAGACAGUUGCAUCAACUAUUGGACAUCUGCAACCAAAACCCAAAGCAAACUCCAAUGCUAUUUGUCCCUAAACAGACAAUACUCCAGAUUAGCUGAGCUCUGUCACCGACCCCAGCCUGAGGAAAACGUUGACUAUGUCCAGACUCAGCAACCACAGCCUGAGAGACAGGCCGACACAGACAGACGUGUCUGCUCUGUCCACACAGACAGUCUUGUUCCAGUUCUCAGUGUCGUUCGACCUCCUCGGUCUUUCAGUCUAAAGCAAAAUUGGUGAUUGACGAUGGGACAGGUGAGGCUCACAUCUGGUUCUCAGGAGCUCUGGUUCGCCCUCUGCUGGGAUUGGAUGAUUCUCAGUGGGAGGGGCUUCAGAGGGCUCUCAGGGUCAAAGGUCACAUCAGAGUGUACCCGCGAGCACGGAGCGUGGUGUGUGACGAUGACGACCCUCUCCUCCACUUCCUGUCGGCCGUGUGCAGCAGCGAUGUGUGUCGGCCGCUCUCUGUCACCUGCAGGAAACACAACAGCCAGAGACCAGAGGAGACGAGGAGAUUCAGUCGAGGAGACAGAGACUUCAUGACCAGGAUGACUCCGCCUCUCCAGCUCACCUGUCUGACUGUCACACCUGACAUCACUGUACCUAAUGUCAUGUGACAUCAUGUGACCUGUACCUGACGUCAUGUGAUGUCACGUGACCUGUACCUGACGUCAUGUGACCUGUACCUGAUGUCAUGUGAUGUCACGUGACCUGUACCUGA